Xylaria sp. CBS 124048 is the source of this 91-nucleotide non-coding RNA. The record is from the annotation of a GenBank genome assembly. Lineage: Eukaryota; Fungi; Ascomycota; Sordariomycetes; Xylariales; Xylariaceae.
GCAGCGGUGGAGCAGAAACUAGCUCGCUUUCCUCACAAUGCCUCACGGCUUAGGAAUGGAAGAGACCCGGGUGCGAGUCCCGGCCGUUGCC